UACGAAGGGGGCUAGCGUUGCUCGGAAUCACUGGGCGUAAAGGGCGCGUAGGCGGCUUUAUAAGUCGGGGGUGAAAGCCUGUGGCUCAACCACAGAAUUGCCUUCGAUACUGUAGAGCUUGAGACCGGAAGAGGUUAGUGGAACUGCGAGUGUAGAGGUGAAAUUCGUAGAUAUUCGCAAGAACACCAGUGGCGAAGGCGGCUGACUGGUCCGGUUCUGACGCUGAGGCGCGAAAGCGUGGGGAGCAAACAGG
RNAcentral lists this ribosomal RNA (253 nucleotides) under uncultured bacterium. Its description in RNAcentral is "partial 16S ribosomal RNA". It matches the Rfam family "Bacterial small subunit ribosomal RNA", at positions 524 to 776 of the family's 1533-position model. The record is from RNAcentral.